Long non-coding RNA from Papaver somniferum (opium poppy), 1978 nucleotides. RefSeq lists it as uncharacterized. The record is from RefSeq and is a predicted model, not a curated record. NCBI's taxonomy places the organism in Eukaryota, Viridiplantae, Streptophyta, Magnoliopsida, Ranunculales, Papaveraceae. The transcript has 9 exons.
ACAUUACGACCUAAUUAUAUUUUCUUCUUCUCUCUGUUCUUCAUAUCCGUUAUUAAGUUUCUCUGUAGGGUUUUCUUUUUUGAGUUUCAUUCUUCAAGGUGUCUACCAGCUCCGCUCAUCUUCCAAGUUCUCUUUCUGAAUCCACAUCCAAACCCUCAUCAAGGUUUGAUUUACAGGAUAUAUAUUUGGCUGAGCUGAAAUUAGGUUUGGCAAAAUAGGGACGCACAGAUUGUUACCGGAAUUAAUAAAUUAGGUUUUAUGAUAAAGUCUGUUACGAGUUGAAUUCAAUUGGAUUUGAAUCUAUAAUGGCCAGCAAGCCUCUGUCUUCACCAGUGCACCUUUCAUAGAAAUUGCCAACUAGUUACAAGGAAAAGCUCUGCUCGAGAAUAUGUGAAUUGAAGGAUUAAUCAAAGGACUAGAAGUGAAAAGGGUGACAAGACUAUGUUCCUAUGACUGGAAGUGAAUGGAGUACAGUUCCCUAUAGAUGCUUACGUCCUUGUAGACACUGUUGUUAAAGCUGAUAAUGGAGCCAGGUUCUUCAAUUAUAUCAGACAUCCUCAUAAAAAUGUAUCAGACAAUAAGUCGAUACCAUACAUGGCUUCCUUCUCAUCAGGAGGUCUAAUUGGUCUUGAGCUUAAAUUUUUCAUUGAACUAUUUAGCAGUUAUGAACUACUUUUCAAUUAUCCCUCUCAUUGUUGCUAUUGAUUUGCAGCCAAUGGCUCUAAUGGAUUAUGUUUUUCAAUUGCAAGGUGAUAUUGCAAAUGCUUGAACAGCUGUAAGAUGUUGGCAGGGUGUCUUUGUUGAAUGUGACCUCAGUAUGAGAGCGAGCAAGGUGGUAGGGAUGAUAUUCUUAGAAGAGGAAGGGAAUAUAGUUGAUCUAGAAGUAGAAGCAAGGUGGUAGGGAUGAUAUUCUUAGAAGAGGAAGGGAAUAUAGUUGAUCUAGAAGUAGAAGUCCAGUGCAUCGAAGAAGUAGACCGAGUCCGGAUAAUGGACUGGAAAACAGUAAAGUUUAUGACAGAUAAGGGACCAUCGAGCAACACCAUGGACGAUAUACCACUCGGUCACCAAUUUGCUGCUAAUUCAAAUGGUUGUUCACCAAUUCGUCGCUCACCUGUUUGUCGUGCCCGUUCCCCAUAGAAAAUUCAAACGUUGAUCGAUUCCCAGCAGGAUGCUCUCAUUUAUUCCCAUUCCCAGCGUUUUUGUUUCAGGGUUUUAGGAAGAAAACCAUAAUCAGAAAAAUGAUGAGGAGGAAUAGAAGAAAAGGAUGUUGGACGGGUUCUGAUGUAUAACUCUGGCGGGUGUUGCGACAGAAUACUUUUUAUUUGGAUACUCGGAAGGUGGCUUAUCUUAUAUUUACCAGUUGGAUAACUUGCUUAAAACCCUGCGGUUUAUACAGAAGAAAGCAAAUUCACAGAACAAUUCUACUUUUGCGUCGGCAUGAAAGAGUUACAUUGGAACUUGCAAAAGUUAUGUCACGUGAACCCACAUUUUGUAGAUUAAUUUAUUAAUGAAUGAGAAUUUAUUGGGUUUGUGGUUUUUGUGAAUUGAAGAAGUGAAGCAAAAAUGUUUGAAUCAGCAAGAUGGAAAAGUGAUUAGAACAAGACUAAAAUUGUCUUUAGAUUACAGUUUCGAGCUACUGAGGAAAGUUCACCCUUUCAUUGAAAUAAGCUACCAGACUAUAUAUACUUCUGUAUUGACAUUCCGGAAGUUCAGAAAUGAUGAUAGUGUAUUCGGAUUAUGUUACCCUACUGUGCAGAAAAGGAAAAACCCCCAUGUCCAUUAUCGGACCCGUGCCGGGUUGUUUUCUUCCAUAUCCUUGCAUGCAUUUUGUUUUCGUAUAUCCUUCCAUACCAAUAUAAUUACGAAGGUCUAUUUAUCUGCAUUCCUAAGGAAAAUAACUUGCUUAUUGUCACAGAAAUACAACACUGAAUUUGUAUUAUCAUGUUUGGCUAUUAUAGGAGUAUGAUUUUUCUGACUA